GAAAAAUAUCGUGGAUAAUAUAAGAGUUAAAAAAAAACAUGAACAUGAAUUUCAAUCUCUCUUCCUGUUACAGAAAUGGAGUUGACUUUGAAACAUAAUCGUUCACAUAUCCAGAGAUAUCCUGUUUUCAACGCAUCGCUACGUUCAUACGAUUAGCUUGAUUAUAUCGUAUUUACAUUAGGGCCAAGAUUGGUCUCUAACUAAAUUCGCUUCUGAGUUUCUGAAACGUUCCAGUUACAAGUUAAAAUUGAAACUCUACCAUGCUAAAAAUCCUCGUGGAAAGAAGAAACUUCUAGUCCAGAGAGGCGAAGGAAAAAAUUAGGUUAGAAGACCAAAAGAGAAAGUGUAAACGGAGCAAAAAAGUUGGUCAGUCCAGGAAGUAGUCGGUGAAGCUCCAAUGCGAGAGCAAAGAAGAAAAAAAAGAAGAAAAGAGAAUCGGUGGAUGGAAAGG
This is a long non-coding RNA of Apis mellifera (honey bee), 451 nucleotides long. RefSeq lists it as uncharacterized. The record is from RefSeq and is a predicted model, not a curated record. NCBI's taxonomy places the organism in Eukaryota, Metazoa, Arthropoda, Insecta, Hymenoptera, Apidae. The transcript has 2 exons.